Zalophus californianus (California sea lion) is the source of this 2551-nucleotide long non-coding RNA. The record is from Ensembl. Lineage: Eukaryota; Metazoa; Chordata; Mammalia; Carnivora; Otariidae.
GGCUGGCCUUGGGCCUCCCUCCUCGCCCCCCAGGCCUCCCUCCCCCGCCACCCUGCUGCCGGCGCCCCACCUCGGCUAGCCUCCCCCUGGGCCAUCUUCCCCGGGCCGCUUCCACGCGGUGCUGUCCCAGGAGGGAGAACAGAAAGGGGAACUGAGGACCCCCUGCUGGGGAAGUCAGGCCGGGAAAUGCGCCUACUGAAGCGGGCUUGGGGGCGGAGAUAGGGGGAGACGUUGGAGACUUUAAAAGUGGGGAGGCGGGUGGGAAAGACGCGGCUUCUGCCCCUCCCCGCCCUCAUUUUGCCGCCCCCCCCCCCCCCGCGUUGCUGACCCUCCCCGGAGGGAGACCGUUCCCGCUGAGCCGUCCUGGGCAGGCGGGGUCCCACCCGGAGCCGCCCGGGGUGGGUUCCGGGGCCGCGCGGGCCUGGCUGGGCCAGGCCGGGGCGCUCUGCAGCUGUGGGUGCGCACGGUCCACCCCCCCGCCGCCGGCUCCCCGCCCGCGCCGCGGGGUCAAACCCAGCUAGGAGACAGGCUUUGGGACACGAAAGUGGAGUGUUCCAGCGUGACUCUGACUCUCGUCCUCCCCCCUGAACCUGGUUCUUAUGUCCUUGCUUUCCUGCCUGUCCGUCUCGAAAUACAGGUUGGAGUAAUCUGAUGUGCUCUUUUUCUGGUCCAGAUUCCAGCUGGACAUGACAUCACCACACAGGAAAUGUUCAUGUGAUCUCCCUGUAUGACUUGGUGGCUGCUAGCUAAAAGAUGCCAUUGUCUGAGCCAUGGUCUGACACAGGGAAUGACAUCAAUAGACAUUGGGUGACUUGUAUGGAGACUCCUCUUCACGUCAAUGGUAUUGCUCUUGGUAUUCACGAGUUCUACAAAACCAACAGUAAUUCCAUUCAAAGGACUUCUAGACUUCUCUAACACUGCCUAAGAUUUUAUACAAUAUCUCUGUCGUUAACCAAGCCAUGAAAACAUGUUAUUAGAAUGCCAUUAUUUAGUAAGUGGCUUCAUCUUGUUGAUUUUUGUUCAUUUUCAAGGCAUGGAACAUAAUUCAAUAACAUGAAAUAGUGUAAAACAUUGUUCUGUUUUUUCACUUUUGUCAUCAAGCCGCAAGUGCAUUGUAAUGUGAUUGGUUAGACAUAAUCAAUGGGAAAAAAUAGUUUUCUCCUGGAGUUGAUGUUCAUUGUGUAUAUCGACAGAUGGUGUUUCCUGUACCUUCAUUUCAAGUGUGCCUUCUCCUUCAAGCUCAGUUUAUUUUAAAUAGUUGGUCACUUUUACAGUUUAUGGAAUUAAUCUGUCAUUUUUAAUAACUGAAACUGUUCUUUCUGAUACAAUCAAAAGAAGUAUUGGCACUUCUCCUAGACUAUAAUUUAUAAUUUCCAAAUCUCUCUUUUAGAUGUUUUUAAAUGGUUUUCGUUUCCAAAAUUUUAAAGACUUCCAUUCCAGUUGUGCAUUACAGUGAAUAUACAAAGUGUGAUGCAGUUUUCACACUGCUUUUCUAGCUCAAGCCCUACAGACUGCCCAUUAAGGCUUGACCAGUCUUCUUAUUUCAGUUCCCAGCUUGUCAGGUGCAUUAGACAUUUUAUUUUAUUUUAUUUUUAAAAGAUUUUAUUUAUUCAUUUGAGAGAAAGGGAGGCAGAGGGAAAGGGAGAAGCAGGCUCCCUGCCCAAUGUGGGACUCAAUCCAUGGACCCUGGGAUCACGACCUGAGCCUAAGGCAGAUGUUUAACCUUAACCAACUGAGCCACCCAGGCGCCCCUGUCUUUCUUUCUUCUUAGAUUCACUCUCCAGCAAGAUGGGGAAUUUACAAACCUGAGUCGUUUGUGACUGAAUAGCUCCCAUUACUUUAAAAAAACAUUCUCACAGUCUUCCUGAAGUUUCACCCUUGCAAUCAGCCUGAGAUCUGAUUCAGAGUCAGUGGAUAUUUUAUUCUAAUAAUACAGGUUCAAAAUGAUGCUCAGGGAGGCUGUGCCCUGAGUCAGGCAGAAUGGGAGGUGGGCAGCCAGGUGGAGGGGAGAAGGCUGGUCUUCGGGUGUAGGACCUCACACUGUAGUUUCCACUAAAGCAGAGCUUCUGAGCGGGCAUCGAAUUCUCACUCUGAGAAGUUUUAUAUUGUAUUUUAUUUAGAUGAUCAUGUUAUGCAUCAUAUGUGCACUUCAGUCUUCUGUGUAUUUUUUGUGCUUAUUAUUGGGGUAUGCCAAAUAAUUCUCCCAAGAAAAGAGUAGAGGGGGACUUCCAAUUCCUUGAUUUAUUUAUGCUAUUAAUUAACAAAUAUUUAUUGAGCACUUUCUAUGUGAAGGUGUUGUGGUAGGUGCUGGCAGAUGGUGGGACAGUGUCCUGUGAAGGGAAGCUUGGCAGUGAUCUGAGCAAACCCAGAGUUCUCAUAAGGCAAGUCAGAAUCUUGCUGCAAGCCACAGUUUAACUUGAGCAAGCAUCAUCUACAUGAAAUUGAUGCUGUUAACUCGAAUUUAGUGGCUGUUUCCAGUUUUGUUUAUAUGUUGUGUAAAUUUGAAAAAAUAGUUGUAUAGAAGCAAUCAGAAUAAAGGGUUCAUAUCUGA